AUACGGAGGGUGCAAGCGUUAAUCGGAAUUACUGGGCGUAAAGCGCGCGUAGGCGGAUAUUUAAGUCUCAUGUGAAAGCCCUGGGCUCAACCUGGGAACUGCAUGGGAUACUGGGUAUCUAGAAUACAGUAGAGGGUAGUGGAAUUUCAGGUGUAGCGGUGAAAUGCGUAGAGAUCUGAAGGAACAUCAGCGGCGAAGGCGACUACCUGGACUGAUAUUGACGCUGAGGUGCGAAAGCGUGGGGAGCAAACGGGAUUAGAAACCCUAGUAGUCC
RNAcentral lists this ribosomal RNA (274 nucleotides) under uncultured bacterium. RNAcentral describes it as "partial 16S ribosomal RNA". It matches the Rfam family "Bacterial small subunit ribosomal RNA", at positions 523 to 796 of the family's 1533-position model. The record is from RNAcentral.